Molecule: transfer RNA, 73 nt
Filed under: Trichonephila inaurata madagascariensis
Lineage: Eukaryota; Metazoa; Arthropoda; Arachnida; Araneae; Nephilidae
Description: tRNA-Arg
Rfam family: tRNA
About the family: Transfer RNA (tRNA) molecules are approximately 80 nucleotides in length. Their secondary structure includes four short double-helical elements and three loops (D, anti-codon, and T loops).
Source: RNAcentral
GGCCAGUGGCGCAAUGGAUAACGCGUCUGACUACGGAUCAGGAGAUUCUAGGUUCGAAUUCUGGCUGGCUUCU